UAGGGAAUCUUCCACAAUGGGCGCAAGCCUGAUGGAGCAACACCGCGUGAGUGAAGAAGGGUUUCGGCUCGUAAAGCUCUGUUGUUAAAGAAGAACACGUAUGAGAGUAACUGUUCAUACGUUGACGGUAUUAACCAGAAGUCACGGCUAACUACGUGCCAC
This 162-nucleotide ribosomal RNA is filed under the name uncultured bacterium. Its description in RNAcentral is "partial 16S rRNA". It matches the Rfam family "Bacterial small subunit ribosomal RNA", at positions 355 to 511 of the family's 1533-position model. The record is from RNAcentral.